ACCCGCUGAACUUAAGCAUAUCAAUAAGCGGAGGAAAAGAAACCAACAGGGAUUGCCUCAGUAACGGCGAGUGAAGCGGCAACAGCUCAAAUUUUAAAGCUGGCGUCUUCGACGCCCGCGUUGUAAUUUGGAGAGGCAUCUUCGGUUUGGGCGCCAGCCUAUGUUCCUUGGAACAGGACGUCACAGAGGGUGAGAAUCCCGUGCUUGGCUGGCUGUCCCUUGCCAUGUGAAGUGCCUUCGACGAGUCGAGUUGUUUGGGAAUGCAGCUCAAAAUGGGUGGUAAAUUCCAUCUAAAGCUAAAUAUUGGCGGGAGACCGAUAGCGCACAAGUAGAGUGAUCGAAAGAUGAAAAGCACUUUGAAAAUAGAGUUAAAAAGUACGUGAAAUUGUUGAAAGGGAAGCGCUUGAGACCAGACUCGGCCGGGGAUGAUCAGCCGUCCUUCUGGGCGGUGCACUUGUCUCCGGUCGGGCCAGCAUCGGUUGAGACGGCGGGAUAAAGGCCCGGGGAAUGUGGCUCCUUUCGGGGAGUGUUAUAGCCCCGGACGCAAUGCCGCCAGCCUCGACCGAGGACCGCGCUUUUUGCUAGGAUGCUGGCGUAAUGGUCUUCAGCGACCCGUCUUGAAACACGGACC
This 631-nucleotide ribosomal RNA is filed under the name Paragyromitra infula. RNAcentral describes it as "eukaryotic LSU rRNA". It matches the Rfam family "Eukaryotic large subunit ribosomal RNA", at positions 23 to 667 of the family's 3401-position model. The record is from RNAcentral. Lineage: Eukaryota; Fungi; Ascomycota; Pezizomycetes; Pezizales; Discinaceae.